GGACAACCUGCCUCAAGGCUGGGGAUAACAUUUGGAAACAGAUGCUAAUACCGAAUAAAACUUAGUGUCGCAUGACACAAAGUUAAAAGGCGCUUCGGCGUCACCUAGAGAUGGAUCCGCGGUGCAUUAGUUAGUUGGUGGGGUAAAGGCCUACCAAGACAAUGAUGCAUAGCCGAGUUGAGAGACUGAUCGGCCACAUUGGGACUGAGACACGGCCCAAACUCCUACGGGAGGCUGCAGUAGGGAAUCUUCCACAAUGGGCGAAAGCCUGAUGGAGCAACGCCGCGUGUGUGAUGAAGGCUUUCGGGUCGUAAAGCACUGUUGUAUGGGAAGAACAGCUAGAAUAGGAAAUGAUUUUAGUUUGACGGUACCAUACCAGAAAGGGACGGCUAAAUACGUGCCAGCAGCCGCGGUAAUACGUAUGUCCCGAGCGUUAUCCGGAUUUAUUGGGCGUAAAGCGAGCGCAGACGGUUUAUUAAGUCUGAUGUGAAAGCCCGGAGCUCAACUCCGGAAUGGCAUUGGAAACUGGUUAACUUGAGUGCAGUAGAGGUAAGUGGAACUCCAUGUGUAGCGGUGGAAUGCGUAGAUAUAUGGAAGAACACCAGUGGCGAAGGCGGCUUACUGGACUGCAACUGACGUUGAGGCUCGAAAGUGUGGGUAGCAAACAGGAUUAGAUACCCUGGUAGUCCACACCGUAAACGAUGAACACUAGGUGUUAGGAGGUUUCCGCCUCUUAGUGCCGAAGCUAACGCAUUAAGUGUUCCGCCUGGGGAGUACGACCGCAAGGUUGAAACUCAAAGGAAUUGACGGGGACCCGCACAAGCGGUGGAGCAUGUGGUUUAAUUCGAAGCAACGCGAAGAACCUUACCAGGUCUUGACAUCCUUUGAAGCUUUUAGAGAUAGAAGUGUUCUCUUCGGAGACAAAGUGACAGGUGGUGCAUGGUCGUCGUCAGCUCGUGUCGUGAGAUGUUGGGUUAAGUCCCGCAACGAGCGCAACCCUUAUUGUUAGUUGCCAGCAUUCAAAUGGGCACUCUAGCGAGACUGCCGGUGACAA
RNAcentral lists this ribosomal RNA (1054 nucleotides) under Leuconostoc mesenteroides. Its description in RNAcentral is "bacterial SSU rRNA". It matches the Rfam family "Bacterial small subunit ribosomal RNA", at positions 119 to 1161 of the family's 1533-position model. The record is from RNAcentral. Lineage: Bacteria; Bacillati; Bacillota; Bacilli; Lactobacillales; Lactobacillaceae.